AGUGAACGCUGGCGGCAGGCCUAAUACAUGCAAGUCGAACGGCAGCACAGCAGAGCUUGCUCUGUGGGUGGCGAGUGGCGGACGGGUGAGGAAUACAUGGGAAUCUGCCCAGUCGUGGGGGAUAACGUAGGGAAACUUACGCUAAUACCGCAUGCGCCCUUCGGGGGAAAGCCGGGGACCGUAAGGCCUGGCGCGAUUGGAUGAGCCCAUGUCGGAUUAGCUAGUUGGCGGGGUAAAGGCCCACCAAGGCGACGAUCCGUAGCUGGUCUGAGAGGAUGAUCAGCCACACUGGAACUGAGACACGGUCCAGACUCCUACGGGAGGCAGCAGUAGGGAAUAUUGGACAAUGGGCGCAAGCCUGAUCCAGCCAUGCCGCGUGAGUGAAGAAGGCCCUCGGUUGCAAAGCUCUUUGUCCGGAAAGAAAAGACGCCGGGUUAAUACCCUGGUGUCCUGACGGUACCGGAAGAAUAAGCACCGGCUAACUUCGUGCCAGCAGCCGCGGUAA
Molecule: ribosomal RNA, 505 nt
Filed under: uncultured bacterium
Lineage: Bacteria
Description: bacterial SSU rRNA
Rfam family: Bacterial small subunit ribosomal RNA
Source: RNAcentral